RNAcentral lists this ribosomal RNA (344 nucleotides) under uncultured fungus. RNAcentral describes it as "SSU rRNA". It matches the Rfam family "Eukaryotic small subunit ribosomal RNA", at positions 292 to 636 of the family's 1831-position model. Lineage: Eukaryota; Fungi. The record is from RNAcentral.
GGUUCAUUCAAAUUUCUGCCCUAUCAACUUUCGAUGGUAGGAUAGUGGCCUACCAUGGUUUCAACGGGUAACGGGGAAUUAGGGUUCUAUUCCGGAGAGGGAGCCUGAGAAACGGCUACCACAUCCAAGGAAGGCAGCAGGCGCGCAAAUUACCCAAUCCCGACCGGGGAGGUAGUGACAAUAAAUACUGAUACAGGGCCAUUUUUGGUCUUGUAAUUGGAAUGAGUACAAUUUAAAUACCAUAACGAGGAACAAUUGGAGGGCAAGUCUGGUGCCAGCAGCCGCGGUAAUUCCAGCUCCAAUAGCGUAUAUUAAAGUUGUUGCAGUUAAAAAGCUCGUAGUUG